GAAGUCUGAGCUGCCGUAGGAGGCUUGCGGUCCCCAGGAGAAGAGGACACCGAGAUCCAGGGGCAGCCGUGGCAUUUGGGACUUCUACAAGCUCCCCAGGUGAUCCAUCAUGUAGCAAAAUUUGAGAACCACUCAUUUUGACCAUGAACCUGUGGGCCUGGCUACAUUCACGAGUCAUCCUUUCUCCCUCCCUAGUUUUUACCAAAGAAUAAAAAUCCAUCAGCCCCAAGGACUUUCUAGUACCUACUCUGUCUGUGUCAGCACAUACAUUCACACAAGGCCACCUAAGAAGAUAAUUGGGCUGCCUUCCGUCCAACACAGUAAUAACAUGUAAUGACCG
Molecule: long non-coding RNA, 340 nt
Organism: Lagenorhynchus albirostris (white-beaked dolphin)
Lineage: Eukaryota; Metazoa; Chordata; Mammalia; Artiodactyla; Delphinidae
Exons: 3
Source: RefSeq, a predicted model, not a curated record